CAAAAGCUGAGCAGACAAUUAACUCCGAGGAAAUGUCUGUGGCACAUGCUGAAUGGGCAGGCAGCAGGGAACGGGUGCGGAUGACAGGUGUCAGGCGGACAGCUUUCCUUUGGCAAAAUGUUGUUUUGGAUGCCUGCCUGGACAUAGCCAAGAAACCCAAGUAAAAGAGCAGAUCGUGAUGGGUGGAGCACCAUAUCCUGCCAUAUUUGAUUUUGUCUCCUGCUCCUCUGCUUUGCGGUCACCUCAGCCAUUCCCCAGGACCACAACAUAUGCUUCAGCUUUCCUCAGGUAACAGAGAGCUCUUUAUUUUAGCUCAAGAGCCUGAUCCCACUUAUACCUCUCCUAUGUCUGGUUUUGCCAUAAAUCCAGAAUGAUAACCCCACUGUACUGACAUAUUCACAAGAGGGACAUCAACAUUAUUUGUGGAGGAGUGGCACAAAAAUAAGACGUGGAAAUGCGUGGAGCUGAAAUCAGGUAAGAUUCACUUGGGAAAGAAAUGCAGUUUUGGAAAACCACUUCCAGUUCAAGAUACGGGA
This 536-nucleotide long non-coding RNA is filed under the name Anser brachyrhynchus (Pink-footed goose). RNAcentral's name for it is "lncRNA (ENSABRG00000005154.1)". Lineage: Eukaryota; Metazoa; Chordata; Aves; Anseriformes; Anatidae. The record is from RNAcentral.